RNAcentral lists this small nuclear RNA (18 nucleotides) under Arabidopsis thaliana (thale cress). Its description in RNAcentral is "snRNA_10426". The record is from RNAcentral. Lineage: Eukaryota; Viridiplantae; Streptophyta; Magnoliopsida; Brassicales; Brassicaceae.
AUGUAGGCAAGGGAAGUC